RNAcentral lists this ribosomal RNA (1406 nucleotides) under Triticum aestivum (bread wheat). Its description in RNAcentral is "partial small subunit ribosomal RNA". The record is from RNAcentral. Lineage: Eukaryota; Viridiplantae; Streptophyta; Magnoliopsida; Poales; Poaceae.
GCACCCGAUUGCGUCUUGAUUGCACUCUGUACUAGUACUACGCUCAGCUCGGAAACUACGACCCACCCGGCAGCCAGAGGGAGGGAAGGAAAGGGGGAGAAGGAGACACCGCGGCGGGCGGAGGCAAUGGCGACGGCGACGGCGACGGCGACGUGCCUGCUGGCGGUCUGGGCGCUGGUCGCCGCCGGCCUGUUCGGCACGGGCCUCGCCCGGGCGUCCGUGGCCCCGGCCGCGGUGGGGAAGGAGCAGCGCGAGUUCGACUACUUCGCGCUGGCGCUGCAGUGGCCAGGCACCAUCUGCUCCUCCACCCGCCACUGCUGCGCCGUCAACGGCUGCUGCCGGUCGGAGGCGCUCCACACCUUCACGAUCCACGGGCUGUGGCCGGACUACGAUGACGGGACCUGGCCGUCGUGCUGCCGCCACACCAGCUUCGACAUGGACAAGUUAACGCCUCUGAAGCCCACUCUGGACAAAUACUGGCCGUCCCUCUACUGUUCGACCUCUUCCACCUGCUUCAGUGGCAGGGGCCCCUUCUGGGCUCAUGAGGUAUUGUGUCAGAACUGACGGAUUGAACUCUAAAAUUACCCACCGAUCGGAAUUGUCACUAACCUUUGUGCUGUUUCCCCUUACCUGCUGUUUUGCAUAAUGACAUUGGCAUGUGCUGCUCGAUCGGUCAUUCGUGGAUUACUAUCGUUUAGUGGGAGAAGCAUGGAACAUGCUCGGCCCCUGUUGUUCAUGAAGAAUUACAGUACUUCACCACCGCCCUUGAUCUCUACUACAAAUAUAACGUUACAGAAAUGCUGGCGACUGGAGAUAUCCUGGUCUCCAACGGUAAAGAAUAUGCACUGAGUGAUGUCAUUGAUACCAUCAAGCAUGCUUUUGGGGGCUCACCGCAGAUCAUAUGCAAGAAGGGCUCAGUUGAAGAACUAAGGUUAUGCUUCACCAAGGAUUUGAAGCCUCGCGAUUGCCUUACUACUUCGGCAAUGUACAAGAACCUAUCGAAGUCGAAGCAUUGCCCUAAAAAAAUCUCCCUGCCAACAUAUGAUCCCAUCGUACUCACAAAUUCGACACUGGAGAUUGUCCCAGAAGCCAGCGACAACGGGUUGUACUUCUUUACAUCCUAAGAUACCGAGCAUUGCUGGGCUAUGAGGAAACAGAUGCCUUCACGGUUCUGACUGCUUGCAAGACCGUAGCCACAGGUGCUGGGCACUGGAGAUCCGGCUAAAACGGGUUUCUGGUUUGUCCAUACUAUUUGUAAAGGACAACAUUCCACGUUUGAACAACAUGGUUCGAUUAUGUUCUGAUUUGUAAAACCGCUGGAUAUCAAACUCAUGUUACUCAUUGCAUGUAUGAAUAAUGGAUGUUAAAUGUACAUAUUAGUUCAUUCUAUUGCUGAAGGAUGUGGC